Molecule: ribosomal RNA, 633 nt
Filed under: uncultured eukaryote
Lineage: Eukaryota
Description: SSU rRNA
Rfam family: Eukaryotic small subunit ribosomal RNA
Source: RNAcentral
CUACCAUGGCAGUCACGGGUAACGGAGAAUUAGGGUUCGAUUCCGGAGAGGGAGCCUGAGAAACGGCUACCACAUCUACGGAAGGCAGCAGGCGCGAAAAUUGCCCAAUCCUGACACGGGGAGGCAGUGACAAGAAAUAACAACUCUAGGUUUUCUUAGAAGUGUAAUGAGGAUAAUUUACGAACCUUACCGAAUGCAAUUGGAGGGCAAGUCUGGUGCCAGCAGCCGCGGUAAUUCCAGCUCCAAUAGCGUAUAUUAAAGUUGUUGCAGUUAAAAAGCUCAUAGUUGAAGUUCUGAUUGUUCGGGUUUCUAGACAUUAGUCGGAGAUACUGACAGUCAUCCGCUUGCAAACAUAUGUUCGAUCUUUACCGGUUGGCUAUGUGAGUAAGCAUUUUACCUUGAGAAAAACAGAGUGUUCCAGGCAGGUUUGUCCGGAAUGCAUUAGCAUGGAAUAAUAGAAUAUGACUGAAGUCUAUUUAUUGGUUACAGGCUUUAGUAAUGAUUAAUAGGAACAGUCGGGGGCAUUCGUACUCAGCAGUCAGAGGUGAAAUUCUAAGAUUUGCUGAAGACGAACUAAUGCGAAAGCAUUUGCCAAGGAUGUUUUCAUUAAUCAAGAACGAAAGUUAGGGGAUC